GACGAACGCUGGCGGCGUGCUUAACACAUGCAAGUCAAACGGAAAGGCCCUGCUUUUGUGGGGUGCUCGAGUGGCGAACGGGUGAGUAACACGUGAGUAACCUGCCCUUGACUUUGGGAUAACUUCAGGAAACUGGGGCUAAUACCGGAUAGGAGCUCCUGCUGCAUGGUGGGGGUUGGAAAGUUUCGGCGGUUGGGGAUGGACUCGCGGCUUAUCAGCUUGUUGGUGGGGUAGUGGCUUACCAAGGCUUUGACGGGUAGCCGGCCUGAGAGGGUGACCGGCCACAGUGGGACUGAGAUACGGCCCAGACUCCGACGGGAGGCAGCAGUGGGGAAUAUUGCACAAUGGGCGGAAGCCUGAUGCAGCAACGCCGCGUGCGGGAUGACGGCCUUCGGGUUGUAAACCGAUUUCGCCUGUGACGAAGCGUGAGUGACGGUAAUGGGUAAAGAAGCACCGGCUAACUACGUG
Molecule: ribosomal RNA, 468 nt
Filed under: uncultured bacterium
Lineage: Bacteria
Description: partial 16S ribosomal RNA
Rfam family: Bacterial small subunit ribosomal RNA
Source: RNAcentral